RNAcentral lists this ribosomal RNA (404 nucleotides) under uncultured bacterium. Its description in RNAcentral is "partial 16S ribosomal RNA". It matches the Rfam family "Bacterial small subunit ribosomal RNA", at positions 28 to 526 of the family's 1533-position model. The record is from RNAcentral.
GACGAACGCUGGCGGCGUGCCUAAUACAUGCAAGUCGAACGCAGUGGGGACGGGUGAGUAACACGUGGGUAACCUCCCCAUCAGAGGGGAUAACACUUGGCAACAGGUGCUAAACCGAUACUGAUGGAUGAACCGGCGGUUCAUUAGCUAGUUGGUGAGGUAACGGCUCACCAAGGCCACGAUGCAUAGCCGACCUGAGAGGGUGACAGGACACCAUGGGACUGAGACAAGGCCCAGACUCCUACGGGAGGCAGCAGUAGGGAAUCUUCGGCAAUGGACGAAAGUCUGACCGAGCCACGCCGCGUGAGUGAAGAAGGUUUUCGGAUCGUAAAACUCUGUUGGUAGAGAAGCGGUAUCUAACCAGAAAGCCACGGCUAACUACGGGCCAGCAGCCGCGGUAAUUC